AGGAUUCGAGCGUUAUCCGGAUUUAUUGGGUUUAAAGGGAGCGCAGGCGGCGGUGCAAGUCUGAUGUGAAAACCCGGGGCCCAACCCCGGGACUGCAUUGGAAACUGCAUGGCUAGAGUGUCGGAGAGGUAAGUGGAAUUCCUAGUGUAGCGGUGAAAUGCGUAGAUAUUAGGAGGAACACCAGUGGCGAAGGCGGCUUACUGGACGAUAACUGACGCUGAGGCUCGAAAGCGUGGGGAGCAA
This 243-nucleotide ribosomal RNA is filed under the name uncultured bacterium. RNAcentral describes it as "partial 16S ribosomal RNA". It matches the Rfam family "Bacterial small subunit ribosomal RNA", at positions 529 to 771 of the family's 1533-position model. The record is from RNAcentral.